GUAACAAUUGUGGAACGGUGGAAAUUUUAAUACGUGGGCCCCCUUUAAUUAUUUUUAAAAGCAAAAAGAGGGAGCGACACAAGUUCUUCUUAAAAUUAUCCUACGAAAUGUCGUGAUCUCUCUUGGUGCUUUCAGAACAACUCCAACCGAAAACAUCCUCUAAAAGGCACAAUCAGAAGACCGAAUAAUAGAAAAAUGCAAAGCCGAGCAGAGCUUAUAGCCAUUAUAGAGGCCGUAGAAACUCACGAAAAUAAAAGAGGAAAAUUCUGCAUAUGUUCAGACUCACUUUCCGCAUUUGAAGCUAUUAAAAAUCUAAACAACAGCGAUCACUACACAUCUUACGCUCGCAACAUACUACAAAAAUUCAAUACCAAAUUUAAACUCCUUUGGAUAUUAGGACUUGUUGGAAUACCAGGAAAUCAACUCGGUGAUUGCCAAGCAACAAACCAACCACUUACAACUAUUGAAAACCUUAACACACAGGACAUAUGUACAUUCGUAAAUAUUUAAAAAACGAAUACUACAAGAAAUACCUAACAAAAAUCACAAAAACAUUAACUUGGUUUCAAACAUCCAACCAAAAUCUUCUUAAGAGACUCGGACACACACAUGCACUUCCACGACCAAACCCAACAGACAACCUGGAACACCUGUUGUCCACCUGUAUCCAUCUUAGAAACCAUAGAAGCAACAUUUUUAACAAUACCAACCCAAUAGAGCGCCUUUUAAUUCCCACACCGUCAAACAUAUUAAAUAUCCUUAAAUACAUUAAAAUCGUCUAUCAUAUACCUAUAUACCAAAUAUAAUGAAACAUUAACAAGAUUAUUCUAUCCAUCUAGAUGUAAAAUAUGGUAUAAAACAUUAGCUGAAGGCCUCUGCUGCCAUAGCUCUAAUUAAUUCGCUAGCUCGUUAGAAAACAAGAAAAUCUAUAUCCAAAAAUAAAAAUAUAAAUAAGUAAUAUUAAUUAUGUACGAAUUAUGGCCAUGGUAA
This is a long non-coding RNA of Drosophila mauritiana, 990 nucleotides long. RefSeq lists it as uncharacterized. The record is from RefSeq and is a predicted model, not a curated record. NCBI's taxonomy places the organism in Eukaryota, Metazoa, Arthropoda, Insecta, Diptera, Drosophilidae. The transcript has 2 exons.